Molecule: long non-coding RNA, 410 nt
Filed under: Linum usitatissimum (flax)
Lineage: Eukaryota; Viridiplantae; Streptophyta; Magnoliopsida; Malpighiales; Linaceae
Description: long non-coding RNA (LUSI_LNC001478)
Source: RNAcentral
AUAUGGUUAGGGUUCUGAUUCUUUUUCUUCUUCUUCUUCCGACAGCAGCAGCAGCAUAUGCACAUCAUGAAGAAGAUGAGAAGCAGAAAUCCGACCCCGGCGGAGAGUCCCGCAAUCAGCUUGAUUUGGUCCUGCGAUAGCCCCUCCGAUCCCGGCGGCGAUAUUGCCUUGUUGUUGGUUCCCUGGGACGAACGAUGAGCUUGACCGGGCGGCGACAUUGUAUCGUGAGCCCUUGUCCCGCUCUCUCCGUUACUGUUGGAAUUAUUAUUGCUGUCCUUGUUGUUGUUGUCAGUGGCGCCCUCACGGCGAGGCCGCGGCGCCGGAGGAGAGGCAGCGUUAGCGUUUCCAUCGGAGGGAGGCGGCGGUGGGGAAUCUUUGGAAGAGGGAGGUGAUCCGGUAGGAGAUUGACC